This 468-nucleotide ribosomal RNA is filed under the name uncultured bacterium. Its description in RNAcentral is "partial 16S ribosomal RNA". It matches the Rfam family "Bacterial small subunit ribosomal RNA", at positions 28 to 507 of the family's 1533-position model. The record is from RNAcentral.
GACGAACGCUGGCGGCGUGCUUAACGCAUGCAAGUCGAACGGAAAGGCCCUGCUUUUGUGGGGUGCUCGAGUGGCGAACGGGUGAGUAACACGUGAGUAACCUGCCCUUGACUUUGGGAUAACUUCAGGAAACUGGGGCUAAUACCGGAUAGGAGCUCCUGCUGCAUGGUGGGGGUUGGAAAGUUUCGGCGGUUGGGGAUGGACUCGCGGCUUAUCGGCUUGUUGGUGGGGUAGUGGCUUACCAAGGCUUUGACGGGUAGCCGGCCUGAGAGGGUGACCGGCCACAUUGGGACUGAGAUACGGCCCAGACUCCUACGGGAGGCAGCAGUGGGGAAUAUUGCACAAUGGGCGGAAGCCUGAUGCAGCAACGCCGCGUGCGGGAUGACGGCCUUCGGGUUGUAAACCGCUUUCGCCUGUGACGAAGCGUGAGUGACGGUAAUGGGUAAAGAAGCACCGGCUAACUACGUG